CUGCAGAGCGGUAGCAUGGCCCUUGAAGUCCACCUGACUUUAUGAUGCACCAGAACAGCAUUCACAAUACAAUCAUACACCCUCUCCUCAGGACAGGAGGUGGACAGGUGGAACAACUAUUUUGCACCUAUGGGAAGAGGGAAACAAACACUGUCUUCUCCAGCAGCUCUGAAGAUGUCCAUCUACAUCCAAUGACUCAUAGAUUUUCCCUUGGCAGAGAAAAAUCUUGUCAAGCUGGUCCCUAGAAGAACGAAGUGAAGAAAUCAGAGCGAAGAAGAAACCAAGACCACCAGAUAGACCUGAUCCCACUUUUUAAAACCACUCUGUACCCUUGACAAGCUGCUCUCUGCUACAGAAGAUGUGCCAAGAGCCUGGUGACUGGUACGAGUGACCUUCCUAAGGAUUAGCCAGAGAUAUGUGACUGCCAGUGAAUAAUUCUAUUCAUUUAUUAUCUGUGAUGAACAGUAAAUCAUUCUAGUAAGAUACUUUUCCAUUCAUUCAUUGCUUGAGAACGAUUAAGAACAAAUAGCCCUUAAAAGCUUUUCCAGUGGAGCUAAGCAAAAUGUACACAGGGAGAGCCAAAAACUUUGUCCCAUUCACUUGUGGUUAAAUCAUAUCAAUAGAGUUGGACAAACAAAUAAUGGUGUGAGCACACAUAGAUGCCCCUUCAUCUUCACCCUUAUAUUUUCUGGUCUCCUGACCAUCUGUGCUCAUGCUACUAUUCUAGAAAACAUUUACCCAAACAGUAUUUUGAUCUGAUGAAGCAACAACACGGUUUUGAUAAGCACAGUUUCAGUGUAAACUAACAUACCUAUGGAUAAAAUAGAGCACUUACGUUACCCAGAUGGUUAACUAGUGAAUGUCAGUGCUAGGAUUACUUCUAAAUCUAUCCACGGCUGUAAAAAGCAGUGACUUAGGAAAGGCAGCAGGCAGCUGGAGAGGCUUUUUCCAUUCACCCACACCAUGCCAAAGUUAGGAAGAAAGAUAUCAAGGAUCUGAAUCAAGGUGUGAAUCAACAUCCCAUGUCAUGCUCCUCACUUCUCCUGCCAAUACAUACGAGAUAUUCCCAUGUCAUGGUGUGGCAUGAACACACCACAUUACAAAAACAUAGCUAAACCAGCUGCAAUUUGGCAGAGAAUCAAAGACCAAUGUAUCUCCAGGACUGCUGCACCAUUUCCUACAUGUAUGAGUCCCCUUCACAGGCUAAGAGAACCUAUGAUUUGGCUGCAGAAAAGGUGACUCUCCCAUUAAGGAAGUGUGAUGGCCCAGCAGCUAUCCCACAACAAGUAACUCAGCAGAUUUCAUCCUUUAUCUUUUCUAUGGGCAAUCCUAUCUAGCAAACUUUUCCCAUUCAUCUCUACCAUGACUUCUAUAUCUUUUAGGUCCUGCUUACAGAUUUAUCCCAAAGCGACUCUUCCCUCUGUAGGCAUGUCUGACAUUCAAAUAAGGGCAAAUGAAUUUCUCUUUUCUACUCUGCUUCAAAGUCAACAGAGGUCAUGUGUAUAUGACAAAAGCAGGAAACCAGUGGGGCUAUUUGCUUGAAAUGAUAAUGCUGUAUUUCACAGUCCCUUUCUUCAGAAGCAAAAUUGUUGGCAUUUUGCUAAACAUCAUAUGACUCUUCAGUAGUGAGGACUGACUACAUCUCCACUUGGAUUAAACAAAAUAAUUAACUGUUACUGAGCACAAAGAGAAAGUCACAAGGUUGCAAAGAGUAAUGCAGCUACAUGGAAGAAGAGAAGCUCUCUUUAAGCUGAUGAUUGAACUACUCAUAUAGAUAGGGCACUGGCUUCAGCACUGUACCCUUUUCUGUCUAU
Molecule: non-coding RNA, 1814 nt
Organism: Coturnix japonica (Japanese quail)
Lineage: Eukaryota; Metazoa; Chordata; Aves; Galliformes; Phasianidae
Source: RefSeq, a predicted model, not a curated record